ACCUUGAUAGCUAAGUAAGUUAGUGACUCUUAAUCACUGGAUGUAAUAAAAUUACUCAAGGUG
Molecule: transfer RNA, 63 nt
Filed under: Donax trunculus (truncated wedgeshell)
Lineage: Eukaryota; Metazoa; Mollusca; Bivalvia; Cardiida; Donacidae
Description: tRNA-Lys
Source: RNAcentral